This 94-nucleotide transfer RNA is filed under the name Bombyx mori (domestic silkworm). It matches the Rfam family "tRNA". From Rfam's summary of the family: Transfer RNA (tRNA) molecules are approximately 80 nucleotides in length. The record is from Rfam by way of RNAcentral. RNAcentral also lists the same sequence under 5 other names. Lineage: Eukaryota; Metazoa; Arthropoda; Insecta; Lepidoptera; Bombycidae.
GCUCCAGUGGCGCAAUUGGUUAGCGCACGGUACUUAUAAGACAGUGUACGUGUGAGUAAUGCCGGGGUUGUGAGUUCGAGCCUCACCUGGAGCA